UAAUUUUCUGUGAUGCAUUUACUUGUUUGGUGCUUGGGGAUGUUUGAGGCAGAUUUGUGUCCGCCGUUUUGAGGCCAGCUUGCUGGUACCCAAACGGUGUUAGCAUUUUUUGUCUUGAACAUUUGAGUAUGGCUUACGGGCAUUUAUUGGUUCGAUCUGAGUGUAAGUUACGGUCGCAUGCGACACGUGCUUUCCAAUUAGUUCGGUCCAGUUAAUGCUCUCGUACUCGUUCCCCAUGUAAAAGCCGGUCAUCUAUCCGACCCGUCUUGAAACACGGACCAAGGAGUUUAUCGUGUGCGCAAGUUUUUGGGUGUUAAAAACCUAAAGGCGAAAUGAAAGUAAAUGGCUCUUUAGAGUCUGAUGUGCGAUCUAGUAAAAAAGUGCAGCAUGGCCCCAUUCUAACUGUUUACAGUAGGGUGGAGGAAGAGCGUACGCGGUGAGACCCGAAA
Molecule: ribosomal RNA, 449 nt
Filed under: Meloidogyne hispanica
Lineage: Eukaryota; Metazoa; Nematoda; Chromadorea; Rhabditida; Meloidogynidae
Description: partial large subunit ribosomal RNA
Rfam family: Eukaryotic large subunit ribosomal RNA
Source: RNAcentral